Molecule: long non-coding RNA, 1295 nt
Filed under: Salmo salar (Atlantic salmon)
Lineage: Eukaryota; Metazoa; Chordata; Actinopteri; Salmoniformes; Salmonidae
Description: lncRNA (ENSSSAG00000092450.1)
Source: RNAcentral
UACUCUCCAUCAAAUGGACAUUUCCUCAAAGAGGUUGAACUGAUGGCACAAUUUGAUCCAGUCAUGAAAGAGCACCUUAACCGUGUCCAAAAAGGGACCUCGAGUCACACCACCAGCUACCUUGGCCACCAAACACAGAAUUAACUCAUUGAUUUGUUGAGCAGCAAGGUCAUUUCAAUAAUGCCUCCAGACAGAGAUGGGCCAUCCUGAAAAAACAUGUGGACAUCACUUUGAAGAUGUGGACUGAGACGAGGUGGGAGAGUAAAGUUAAGAGUGUUUAGACACUGAGGUAUCAGGCAGCAGCGGUGAGAGAGGCACUGAGGUAUCAGGCAGCAGCGGUGAGAGAGGCACUGAGGUAUCAGGCAGCAGCGGUGAGAGAGGUACUGAGGUAUCAGGCAGCAGCGGUGAGAGAGGUACUGAGGUAUCAGGCAGCAGCGGUGAGAGAUGCACUGAUUGAGGUGAGGGAUUAAACCAAAGACCCUGUGAUAAAGAUUGUCCUUGUCAGAGGAGGUGGGAUCAUACCGCUUCAGCGUCUGUACAGUGGUGUGGUAUGACAUCUGGAGCCAGAUCCAACAUGUGAUCAAGCUGAUGUAGUCUCCCAGUAUGCAUGUGGAUGUUGCAGUCAGUCUUCUCAGAAAGACAGAGAGAGGUCUCAGCAACUACAGGGCAACACAAACGUCAGCCGAGGAUAUUUGCGAGGGUAUGAAUGUAGAGGCCGUUCUACAACAAAAAAGGCUGAGGUCCACAAUGCGGCACUUCAUACGAAUCAUUUGAUCAGAUCAAAUCAAACUUUAUUUGUCACAUGCGCCGAAUACAAAAAGUGUAGACUUUACUGUGAAAUGCUUACUUACAAGCCCUUAACCAACAGUGCAGUUCAAGAAGAGUUAAGAAAAUAUUUACCAAGUAGACUUAAAUAAAAAGUAAUAAUAAAAAGUAACACAAUAAGAAUAACAAUAACGAGGCUAUAUACAGAGGGCACCGGUACAGAGUCAAUGUGGAGGCUAUAUACAGGGGGUACCGGUACAGAGUCAGUGUGGAGGCUAUAUACAGGGUGUUACGGUACAGAGUCAGUGUGGAGGCUAUAUACAGAGGGCACCGGUACAGAGUCAGUGUGGAGGCUAUAUACAGGGUGUUACGGUACAGAGUCAAUGUGGAGGCUAUAUACAGGGGGCACCGGUACUGAGUCAGUGUGGAGGCUAUAUACAGGGUGUUACGGUACAGAGUCAAUGUGGAGGCUAUAUACAGGGGGUACCGGUACAGAGUCAGUGUGGAGGCUAUAUACAGGGGGGACGGGU